This 516-nucleotide long non-coding RNA is filed under the name Ananas comosus (pineapple). RNAcentral describes it as "long non-coding RNA (ACOM_LNC034670)". Lineage: Eukaryota; Viridiplantae; Streptophyta; Magnoliopsida; Poales; Bromeliaceae. The record is from RNAcentral.
CUGGUGUCCAUAAAAUUUUUGUCCCGUCUGCGAUUAGGGCUGGCAAAUGAGCGAGCCGGCUCGCGUUCGACUUGCGUUCGACUCGAUAUUUGGCUCGCUCGAGGUCGAAUCGAAAUUAAAUGAGCCGAGCUUGAACAAAAAAAAAAGCUCGAAAUUCAUUUCAAUCCAAGCUUGAGUAUUACGCGGCUCGUUCGAAUUAAGCUUGAAAAGCUCGAAAAGCUCGAAUAUAUAUAUAUAUAUAUAUAUAUAUAGUAGAGUUACUAUGUUAUCGAAAGUAUAGAGAAUCUCGUGCUUUCGAUUUUUUGAUUCUUCGAUCAACCCCUUUAAUUAUUUCUUAUCUUUGAAUUAAUACUAUUAUUACCUUGCAGAGACCACUCAAUUCUAGGGAUAUUAUUUAAUCCUAGGGGGAACCGCAAUUAUCCCAACCAUACAAUUUUUAAUCAAAGGGUCAAAAAUUCGAAAACAUCAAAUCCUCUAUAUUUUCAAUAGCAUAGUAGUUCUACACUAUAUAUAUAU